This is a long non-coding RNA of Mesocricetus auratus (golden hamster), 1320 nucleotides long. RefSeq lists it as uncharacterized. Lineage: Eukaryota; Metazoa; Chordata; Mammalia; Rodentia; Cricetidae. The record is from RefSeq and is a predicted model, not a curated record. The transcript has 4 exons.
GCCGCUGUCCCGAAAGUCUCAGUCCCAACCGAGGAGGCAGAGAAAGAGCGCCGCCGCGGCGCCAGCGAGCCACAGCGCCCCGCGUGUCCUGGAGGAGCCAAGCCAAGAAUUAGCUGCUACUUACUGAAAUGUGUUCUCGAUGUCCAGCUCCUAAAGACCAGCAAGAGGACUCCAGGGAGCCGUAGCCAGACUAGUUUUCUCACAGACCAGACCCAGGCAUGAGGAAUCUGAACCAAUGUCUUUUGAAAUGUCACAUCUCUCCUGAAUGAGUCACUUCUGAUCAUCUCUUCCCAGUGAGCACAGGGGCCAUUUCUUCAAAAUCCCAGGUUAACUCUCCAUUGUUGGGCGUGCCGGCAUGGAUACCUAUGGACCCAGCUAUUGGGGCAACGGACCAGAUCGCCAAGUGUACAAGAUUGAGACCAACCUGGGCAGCAUGGCUUCCUCUCUUCUCCCCACCACAGUGCUUCCUUUGUCACCGUGAAUUCAGGCUCAUUUGGCAACCUCCCUCAUCAGCACCAGACUCUUUUCUUUACCUGCCAGGCCUUACUUGCUGAGAUGGCUCUGUUCAGUGCAAUCCCUCUCAGUCAUGCAGAUCCCUCUGCUCACUGCCAAGACUGAAGGCAAGGCCAGCCUUUCCUGACUGACUAGCUACUGAGCCUCCCCGUCAGAGGCCAAUGCCACCAUCAGAGGCUCUUUGUUACCUUCUUGCUGAUGCGCAACCACAGCUGUUUGCACAUGAUUUUGCUAAUAGACUUAACAGAAACGACUCCAACGCUAGGAUUCAGGAAUAAUCUAUCACAGGUUUUGGAGAUACUUUCUUGCUUUGCUUGUCUGGUUGCUACAUGAUGAUUUAGGAGAUGAAAAAGGCACCUGCUGCUGCUUCCAUCCUGCAUCUGAGCAUUUUCUAAACUUUAAAGUGAUGGAUUAUUUUCUUUUUAGAUUUGUAACACUCAGGAUAAGACUAUGUUACAGUAAUGAUUAAAAUUGAAAUUUCAGUGACCAGUCUUUCCUGUUUACUCCUGUGACAGUCUAAUACCAUCAAUCAACUUUCUGGAUGGCCUUCCUCCAGCCCAAAUGCCUGUGCCCAGGCUGCUUCCAUUCAGCAAAGUUCCUGUUUACAACCAAACGAAGACAAAACUGUGCUCAACCAUGGCACUUCAUUGCUGGCUAUGGAAUUUACUGAAAGACCCCUACAUAGGACCCCCUAGGAAAAGAAAAGCAAGGCCAGGCCGUUGCCUAAUGAAAGAAACCCAGACCAGGUGUUUCACCCUCAAAACAGGAUGUCUGUGAUCACUAUAGCAGUCAUGGGACCCGGAUAAU